This is a long non-coding RNA of Hirundo rustica (Barn swallow), 699 nucleotides long. RefSeq lists it as uncharacterized. The record is from RefSeq and is a predicted model, not a curated record. NCBI's taxonomy places the organism in Eukaryota, Metazoa, Chordata, Aves, Passeriformes, Hirundinidae. The transcript has 8 exons.
AAAAGACUUGUAAUCUGCUCUUACAUGGCGCUAGAAGAAAUCCUUCUAAAGUACCACGUGGAGAUCAGCUAAGUGUUGAGGGAAAAAAUGGGGGAAAAAAGAUUAUGGUCUGGUAAAAGGGAUGCUGUAUCUGAAUUGGAACAAGGGAAGGCAACAUCAGUUUUGGUCUGUAAAUAUGAACAGCAGUUUAUGACUUCCAUGAAAUAUUGGAGGAAUGCAGAGAUGAGAAGUUUAGUAGUAUGGUGAUGGAGUACGUACAAAGAAUGCAGCGGAUAAUGGCAGUCCUGUCCUCUGAACAGAUGGUGAUGGUCCUGUUGCUAGGAUAAGGUGCCUGCACAAAGCCAUACUGUAUUAAGUGAUUUAAAGGAGCCCCGUAUCAGAUGCUGUGGGAUUGACUAAUGGCUGAGAGCAUCAACAAUGCAUUCUGCUCAGUCUCGUGUCCAAAAUCACUGCCUGUGAUUCAAAGACAACACAAGAUUUUGUGAAAAAAAUAACGAAGCCCAGCGCCGGAGGAGUCUAAGUGAUGCCCUUGUACCUCUAAGCACCUCUAAGCUUUAUACGGUGAUUUUUCAGGCCUGGUUUAUUAAGGAAAUUCUUUCCAGGGCUUCUCAAUAAGAGUGGGGAUGGAGGAGGAGCAGAGAGAAACUGGUGGGAGAGACGUCGCUGCAGUAAUGAACAGAGCUGAGCCUGCAGUGCCAG